GGGUCAGUAGGUUGGUCGUGCCACCGGUACGUACUGGUCUCACUGAUUUCUCCUUCCUGAAGAACCGUAAUGCCAUUAAUUUGGUGUUGCGGGGAAACAGGACUGCUACAUUGAAAAAAUUAGAGUGUUUAAAGCAAGCUAACGCUUGAAUACAUUAGCAUGGAAUAAUGAAAUAGGACGAUCGAUCCUAUUUUGUUGGUUUCUAGGAUUGACGUA
RNAcentral lists this ribosomal RNA (216 nucleotides) under Glomeromycotina sp. RNAcentral's name for it is "partial small subunit ribosomal RNA". The stretch from base 40 to 216 matches the Rfam family "Eukaryotic small subunit ribosomal RNA", at positions 686 to 864 of the family's 1831-position model. Lineage: Eukaryota; Fungi; Glomeromycota. The record is from RNAcentral.